CCCGGCGAGGGGAGUGAAAAAGAACCUGAAACCGUGUACGUACAAGCAGUGGGAGCCUCUUUAUGGGGUGACUGCGUACCUUUUGUAUAAUGGGUCAGCGACUUAUAUUCUGUAGCAAGGUUAACCGAAUAGGGGAGCCGAAGGGAAACCGAGUCUUAACUGGGCGUUAAGUUGCAGGGUAUAGACCCGAAACCCGGUGAUCUAGCCAUGGGCAGGUUGAAGGUUGGGUAACACUAACUGGAGGACCGAACCGACUAAUGUUGAAAAAUUAGCGGAUGACUUGUGGCUGGGGGUGAAAGGCCAAUCAAACCGGGAGAUAGCUGGUUCUCCCCGAAAGCUAUUUAGGUAGCGCCUCGUGAAUUCAUCUUCGGGGGUAGAGCACUGUUUCGGCUAGGGGGUCAUCCCGACUUACCAACCCGAUGCAAACUGCGAAUACCGAAGAAUGUUAUCACGGGAGACACACGGCGGGUGCUAACGUCCGUCGUGAAGAGGGAAACAACCCAGACCGCCAGCUAAGGUCCCAAAGUCAUGGUUAAGUGGGAAACGAUGUGGGAAGGCACAGACAGCCAGGAUGUUGGCUUAGAAGCAGCCAUCAUUUAAAGAAAGCGUAAUAGCUCACUGGUCGAGUCGGCCUGCGCGGAAGAUGUAACGGGGCUAAACCAUGCACCGAAGCUGCGGCAGCGACACUAUGUGUUGUUGGGUAGGGGAGCGUUCUGUAAGCCGUUGAAGGUGGCCUGUGAGGGUUGCUGGAGGUAUCAGAAGUGCGAAUGCUGACAUAAGUAACGAUAAUGCGGGUGAAAAACCCGCACGCCGGAAGACCAAGGGUUCCUGUCCAACGUUAAUCGGGGCAGGGUGAGUCGACCCCUAAGGCGAGGCCGAAAGGCGUAGUCGAUGGGAAACAGGUUAAUAUUCCUGUACUUGGUGUUACUGCGAAGGGGGGACGGAGAAGGCUAUGUUAGCCGGGCGACGGUUGUCCCGGUUUAAGCAUGUAGGCGGAGAUUCCAGGUAAAUCCGGAGUCUUGUUAACGCUGAGGUGUGAUGACGAGGCACUACGGUGCUGAAGUAACAAAUGCCCUGCUUCCAGGAAAAGCCUCUAAGCAUCAGGUAACACAAAAUCGUACCCCAAACCGACACAGGUGGUCAGGUAGAGAAUACCAAGGCGCUUGAGAGAACUCGGGUGAAGGAACUAGGCAAAAUGGUGCCGUAACUUCGGGAGAAGGCACGCUGAUAUGUAGGUGAAGUGAUUUACUCAUGGAGCUGAAAUCAGUCGAAGAUACCAGCUGGCUGCAACUGUUUAUUAAAAACACAGCACUGUGCAAACACGAAAGUGGACGUAUACGGUGUGACGCCUGCCCGGUGCCGGAAGGUUAAUUGAUGGGGUUAUCCGUAAGGAGAAGCUC
RNAcentral lists this ribosomal RNA (1400 nucleotides) under Salmonella enterica subsp. enterica serovar Schwarzengrund. RNAcentral describes it as "partial 23S ribosomal RNA". It matches the Rfam family "Bacterial large subunit ribosomal RNA", at positions 525 to 1907 of the family's 2925-position model. The record is from RNAcentral. Lineage: Bacteria; Pseudomonadati; Pseudomonadota; Gammaproteobacteria; Enterobacterales; Enterobacteriaceae.